UGUAGCUUGACAUUGGGUCUUGGUACUACAUGUACAGGAUAGGUGGGAGGCUUUGAAACCAGGACGCCAGUUUUGGCGGAGCCAUCCUUGGGAUACCACCCUUGUAGUACUGGGACUCUAACCAUAGGCCAUGAAUCUGGUCUUGGGACACUGUCAGGUGGGCAGUUUGACUGGGGCGGUCGCCUCCCAAAAGGUAACGGAGGCGCGCAAAGGUUCUCUCAGUACGGUCGGAAAUCGUACGUAGAGGGUAAAGGCAAAAGCGAGCUUGAUUGCAAGACAUACAGGUCGAGCAAGGAUGAAAAUCGGACUUAGUGAUCCGGUGGUUCUGCGUGGAAGGGCCAUCGCUCAACGGAUAAAAGCUACCCUGGGGAUAACAGGCUUAUCUCCCCCAAGAGUCCACAUCGACGGGGAGGUUUGGCACCUCGAUGUCGGCUCAUCACAUCCUGGGGCUGUAGUAGGUCCCAAGGGUUGGGCUGUUCGCCCAUUAAAGUGGUACGCGAGCUGGGUUCAGAACGUCGUGAGACAGUUCGGUCCCUAUCCGUCGCAGGCGUAGGAAAUUUGAGAAGACCUGUCCUUAGUA
This 580-nucleotide ribosomal RNA is filed under the name Clostridioides difficile. RNAcentral's name for it is "bacterial LSU rRNA". It matches the Rfam family "Bacterial large subunit ribosomal RNA", at positions 2105 to 2683 of the family's 2925-position model. Lineage: Bacteria; Bacillati; Bacillota; Clostridia; Peptostreptococcales; Peptostreptococcaceae. The record is from RNAcentral.